Neopsephotus bourkii (Bourke's parrot) is the source of this 1856-nucleotide long non-coding RNA. RefSeq lists it as uncharacterized. The record is from RefSeq and is a predicted model, not a curated record. The transcript has 4 exons. NCBI's taxonomy places the organism in Eukaryota, Metazoa, Chordata, Aves, Psittaciformes, Psittacidae.
UAUGACUUUGAAAGAGAAAUGAAAGCUGGAUAACACAUUUAACUUUAUUUCAGUUUUCUGAAUGGCCAGCUGUGCUUCUCCUCAGUAGAUCCUGUCUGUUCCAAUACCUAACUGCUAACGCACAUGGCAAAGCAAGGAGAAACCAUUGAGAUAUCUUGUGUUCCCUGUAAAAAAGUGUAUUAAAUAACAUACUCCUAAUUCACACACUUUAGAGACCACCCAGAUAUUUCCAGAGCUGUCAUAUACCUACAACUGUUAUUUUUGCAGUGUAUAUUCAAACGCAUUAACACUGAGUAAAACUAGAUUGUAAUUGUUGAAGGCCACACACCAGAUUGCAUUGAAUUCUUCUGUUCAGUAAUUUAAAGGAUUCCAGUCUGACUAAACAUCCUUUUUUUCAGUGUUUUGCCCAUGAUUAGUGCCUCAGUGUGGUUCUACUAUGAUUUAAUUUAUUGUAAGCAGUGUCAUUUUAUCAGUAGCAUGCCACAUGUGUUGCCUGCGCAGUUCCUUAAAACCUAAUUAACCUUCAAUAUUGCAUGGGUUAGUUAGUGUUGAAGGCUCGAGUGCUGGGGUUGUUUUAGCUUGUGUUUCCUUUUAACACCGACCUUUUCAAAUUCCCUCCUAGAUAAUGGGAUACGGCUUUUAAAUGGAAGAUAUAGCUUUCAAAAUGAUUUAAGGUAAUAAGAGAUAAAACAACAGAGGAGCUGAAAAAACUGAUAGUGUCUCAGAGUUAAAAGGAAAACAACUAUCAGUGCCCCUAGCGAUUGUAUAAUUUGGAGACAUUUGAAAAAGACAGGUCUUUAGAGGAGGAAAACAUGCCCUAAACUGAACACCACUGCUUUGGAGUUGUGAAUUUCAGCUGGCAUGAAGCAUGAAGGGUGCAGAUAAACUGCAUCUGAUGUAAAGCUUCACUGUAUAAAGUUAAACCAGCAGAAAAUUUGAGCAGGAGGAAUGAGCUCAGGCUGGACCAAAACUCUGCUUUGUGUGGCCAUGGCAGCUUCGGUCCCAUGUUACCAACCUGAAUAGGAGGAAUAGGCUUAUACUGGGGGAAGAACAGUUCUGAUUGCAAAGGAAAGGUGGGGUGUGCACUGCUCUAAUUUGUUGUGCUCUGGCCACAUCAGCUGCUGGAUUCAAACAACUCAGAAAGACCCACAAGUCCUACAGUGUUGUCUGAGCUCUGCCCCUUCAAAAAUGUCUGGAGGACCCAAUCCAAGGUGAUGAUGGAUGUUUACCAGCUGUGGGAGUCAUCACUGGGAACUGCUGCUGCUCUGAAGAGGGAAAAUUCAUUAAAGUUGCUCUUGCGAAGUUGAACAGAGUUUGCUGCUUUGCCUGGAUAUAUUGAAACACAAAUAAUCCACAUUUCAGCUCCAUUUUAGUAGGUACCCAAAGUCUUUCUUGACAUUCUCCAUUUUGUGCAACCACCUGGAUCAGGUGGGAGUGAAGUUGCCCUGUGCAUAUUUAUGUUACGUUGGCCCAAGUGCCCCAGACAGAUGCUUGGAAGAUCUCCAGAUACAAAGCCUCAGAAGUUCCUAACCAGAACCCUGAGGGAACUCUUUUUGAGAAAACAGUGAACAGUCAGACCCAAAUCCCAAGAAGACUGUUAUCCCCUCUGGAGGCAAGCCAAAGAAAAUGUUCACACCAGCAUAAACCCAGGGAUUUGGUGUUAUUCUGCUGGCAGUGUAGUCGGUUGCCUGGCUGGAAAACCAGAUGAAGGAGCGCUGCAUCUUUGUCUUCUCAUGCAACUUUUGUUUCCAGAAUUGUGGUGAUAGGAGGAGCAUCUUCAAAAUCUCUGCCGAAACCAAUGACUAUAUAGGCAGAAAUGAAACACAGCUGUGCCUAGUAAACAUUAUCUAAUAACA